Non-coding RNA from Phrynosoma platyrhinos (Desert horned lizard), 73 nucleotides. The record is from the annotation of a GenBank genome assembly. NCBI's taxonomy places the organism in Eukaryota, Metazoa, Chordata, Lepidosauria, Squamata, Phrynosomatidae.
GGCCAGCGUGGCAUAGUGGUUUAAGUGUUUGGCUGUGACUCUAGAGACCAGGGUUCAGUUCCCUGCUUGGCCA